GCAGCCGCCGCGGGAAUACGUAGGGUGCAAGCGUUAAUCGGAAUUACUGGGCGUAAAGCGUGCGCAGGCGGUUAUAUAAGACAGAUGUGAAAUCCCCGGGCUCGACCUGGGAACUGCAUUUGUGACUGUAUAGCUAGAGUACGGCAGAGGGGGAUGGAAUUCCGCGUGUAGCAGUGAAAUGCGUAGAUAUGCGGAGGAACACCGAUGGCGAAGGCAAUCCCCUGGGCCUGUACUGACGCUCAUGCACGAAAGCGUGGGGAGCAAACAGGAUUAGAUACCCGAGUAGUCCCUGUCUCUUAUAC
Molecule: ribosomal RNA, 302 nt
Filed under: uncultured bacterium
Lineage: Bacteria
Description: partial 16S ribosomal RNA
Rfam family: Bacterial small subunit ribosomal RNA
Source: RNAcentral